CAGAGUGGAAAAAGGUGAAAGUGUAGAACUACGUUGUCUUGGUCCACGAGGAAACCCCAAACCAAGACUGCGUUGGAUCAAAAACUACAACAGCAACUUUUUUGACAUCAAAAAAUUCACCAAGAGCGUCAACUCCUUGGAAGAUGAAACCGGCAAAAGCACUAGCUCUUUAGGAAAAGGUGUGGAUCCCAAAGGCAGCAUCACUUCUGAUUCAGUUCGUGAUCCGAUUUCCAAAAUUGACAGUGGUUUGUCUGAUGUGUCCAGUGUUGGUGUAGCGAGUGGUAGAAGUGGUAAAAGUGGUGACAGUAGUGAUUUUGUGGUUGAUAGUGGUAAUAGUGGCAGUGGUUUUGUGGACAAUAGUAAGAAUGCUCUGGAUCCUAAUGGUGAUGGCAACGUUUUGGUCACUGAUGAAGGGCAUUUGCUGAUCAAUAAUGCCAGAUUGGAGGACAGUGGCAACUACACCUGCAUAGCCGAGAAUAUUUCGGGCAGACGGAUUAGUUCCCAGGUCAUGCUGACAGUAUAUGGUGA
Molecule: long non-coding RNA, 528 nt
Organism: Ctenocephalides felis (cat flea)
Lineage: Eukaryota; Metazoa; Arthropoda; Insecta; Siphonaptera; Pulicidae
Exons: 3
Source: RefSeq, a predicted model, not a curated record